UGGCUCAGAUGGUAGAACGUCUGCCUACAAUGCAGGAGACCCAGGUUCAAUCCCUGG
RNAcentral lists this transfer RNA (57 nucleotides) under Bos taurus (domestic cattle). It matches the Rfam family "tRNA", at positions 8 to 63 of the family's 71-position model. Rfam says of the family: Transfer RNA (tRNA) molecules are approximately 80 nucleotides in length. Their secondary structure includes four short double-helical elements and three loops (D, anti-codon, and T loops). Lineage: Eukaryota; Metazoa; Chordata; Mammalia; Artiodactyla; Bovidae. The record is from Rfam by way of RNAcentral. RNAcentral also lists the same sequence under 1 other name.